CAAGGCAUACGGCUCAGUAACGCGUACCCUAUCUAACCUAUGGACGGGAAUAACCUCGGGAAACUGAGAACAUUGCCCGAUAGAACAUUAUGCCUGGAAUGGUUUAUGUUCCAAAUGAUUUAUCGCCGUAGGAUGGGACUGCGGCCUAUCAGUUUGUUGGUGAGGUAAUGGCCCACCAAGACUAUUACAGGUACGGGCUCUGAGAGGAGUAGCCCGGAGAUGGGUACUGAGACACGGACCCAGGCCCUAUGGGGCGCAGCAGGCGAGAAAACUUUGCAAUGUGCGAAAGCACGACAAGGUUAAUCCGAGUGGUUUCUGCUAAAGAAACCUUUUGUCAGUCCUAGAAACACUGAUGAAUAAGGGGUGGGCAAGUUCUGGUGUCAGCCGCCGCGGUAAAACCAGCACCUCAAGUGGUCAGGAUGAUUAUUGGGCCUAAAGCAUCCGUAGCCGGCUCUGUAAGUUUUCGGUUAAAUCUGUACGCUCAACGUACAGGCUGCCGGGAAUACUGCAGAGCUAGGGAGUGGGAGAGGUAGACGGUACUCGGUAGGAAGGGGUAAAAUCCUUUGAUCUAUUGAUGACCACCUGUGGCGAAGG
RNAcentral lists this ribosomal RNA (594 nucleotides) under uncultured crenarchaeote. Its description in RNAcentral is "bacterial SSU rRNA". It matches the Rfam family "Archaeal small subunit ribosomal RNA", at positions 77 to 672 of the family's 1478-position model. The record is from RNAcentral. Lineage: Archaea; Thermoproteati; Thermoproteota.